AACGCACAUUGCGCCCAUUAGUAUUCUAGUGGGCAUGCCUGUUCGAGCGUCAUUUCAACCCUUAAGCCUAGCUUAGUAUUGGGAAUCGACUUUACUGUCGUUCCUCAAAUUCAACGGCGGAUUUAUAGCAAUCUCUGAACGUAGUAAUUUUUUUUCUCGUUUUUGAAAUACUAUAAACCUCGGCCGCUAAACCCCCAAUUUCUUAUGGUUGACCUCGGAUCAGGUAGGAAUACCCGCUGAACUUAA
RNAcentral lists this unclassified non-coding RNA (246 nucleotides) under uncultured Xylariales. RNAcentral describes it as "sequence contains 5.8S rRNA gene, ITS2, 28S rRNA gene". The record is from RNAcentral. Lineage: Eukaryota; Fungi; Ascomycota; Sordariomycetes; Xylariales.